Molecule: long non-coding RNA, 1164 nt
Organism: Raphanus sativus (radish)
Lineage: Eukaryota; Viridiplantae; Streptophyta; Magnoliopsida; Brassicales; Brassicaceae
Exons: 8
Source: RefSeq, a predicted model, not a curated record
CCCUCUCUCUAUUACCACCGCCAUCUUGUCUCUCCCUCUCUCUAUUACCACCGACGAUUUUCUUUCUUUAAUCAUCAAUCAGACCAACUAAGAUCUUGUCUUUCCCUCUCUCUAUUACCACCGACGAUCUUGUCUCACCCUCUCUCUAUUACCACCUUUCGAUCUUCUCUCUUUAUUCAUCAAUCUGACCACCAACGAUAUUGUUUCUUUAUUCCGACCACAGACAGAUCUUGUUUCUCUAUUAUAAGAUCCCGAUUCAGAUGUGACGAAUCCGCUGUUUCUUCCGAUUAUCUUAGUGAAGCUGAAGAAUAUGGAGGCUCGCGCUGUUGAUGAUGUGUUUAAGGACUUUUGGGAUCGAAGAGCUGAUCUCACCAAGACUUUCAUUUUAUUCCAUUGGGUUUUCUUGAUUCCUGAGAUCAUAAAGUUCACACCUUUCUUCAGAAGAAGACGAAGAGAUCGUGUUUGUUUAAGAUGUUUUGUUGGAGAAGAACUUCAAAUCUUUAGCUGGAAAGGGAUUUUAACAGAUCGCAAACAUCUAUUGAGAAUUGGGUCCGUACUUCACCAAAGCUAAAAGAAAUUAUGAAAAAGAUUCUUUACCUGGGGAACACAUUGAACCAAGGAACUGCGAGGGGCGCUGCAGUGGGAUUCAAGUUGGACAGUUUAUCAAAACUAAGCGAUAUACAUGCUGCUAACAGGAAGAUGACUCUCAUGCACUAUCUUUGCAAGUUCCUUGCUUGAAAGGGAUCAGAUCUGCUGGACUUCCCUAAGGAUAUUGAGAGUCUUGAAAAGUAUUCUUCAAAGAUACAAUUGAAGUCGUUGGCUGAGGAAAUGCAAGCUAUAAUCAAAGGACUGGAGAAACUGAUCAACCAAUAGCUCACUGCAUCUGAAAAGAAAAGGUAAACUAUUUGCUCAGGUUUUGAACGCCCGACAGCAAUGCCAUUUAGCCAUUUACAUAUUUAAAAGUUAAGUAUUUAUAAAUAUGUACUCUUGUGUGAUUACCUUUACAACUGUGUUCUUAUUUAACUCUCUUAUUAUUCAGGAGAUGCUGGAAACAACAUUAUAAGUUUGAGAAAGGACAUUGAGGAAUGAAACAUAGCUACCGCUUGGAAGUCACAAAACAAAACAUAACAGGCGCUUGGAUUCAGAAACAACCUUUAGCAUUGG